This 232-nucleotide ribosomal RNA is filed under the name uncultured bacterium. RNAcentral describes it as "partial 16S ribosomal RNA". It matches the Rfam family "Bacterial small subunit ribosomal RNA", at positions 89 to 334 of the family's 1533-position model. The record is from RNAcentral.
CUGGCAGUGGCGGACGGGUGAGGAACGCGUAGGAAUUCAUCUUUGGGUGGGGGACAACCGUGGGAAACUACGGCUAAUACCGCAUGACGGCUGAGGCCUAAAGGUCGCGAGACCGCCUGGAGAGGAGCCUGCGUCCGAUUAGCUAGUUGGUUGGGUAAUGGCUGACCAAGGCUUCGAUCGGUAGCUGGUCUGAGAGGACGGCCAGCCACACGGGGACUGAGACACGGCCCCG